This is a non-coding RNA of Mycena latifolia, 94 nucleotides long. The record is from the annotation of a GenBank genome assembly. Lineage: Eukaryota; Fungi; Basidiomycota; Agaricomycetes; Agaricales; Mycenaceae.
GGCUCGAUGGCGGACGGACCGCACCUGCCCCGCAUAAAAGGAAAGAAUUUGGUGGAUAUGCCAGGAGACACCUGUUCGACUCGGGUUCGAGCCA